GAAAUGCGAUACGUAGUGUGAAUUGCAGAAUUCAGUGAAUCAUCGAAUCUUUGAACGCACAUUGCGCCCCUUGGUAUUCCAUGGGGCAUGCCUGUUCGAGCGUCAUUUGUACCCUCAAGCUCUGCUUGGUGUUGGGUGUUUGUCCCCGUCUCCGCGCGUGGACUCGCCCCAAAGUGAUUGGCAGCCGGCGUACUGGUCCCGGAGCGCAGCACAUGUCGCGCAAACGAGUGCCUUGGUACGGCGGCGUCCAUAAGCCCCUCUCUCACGCUCUUGACCUCGGAUCAGGUAGGGAUACCCGCUGAACUUAAGC
This 310-nucleotide unclassified non-coding RNA is filed under the name plant metagenome. Its description in RNAcentral is "partial contains 5.8S ribosomal RNA, internal transcribed spacer 2, and large subunit ribosomal RNA". The stretch from base 1 to 105 matches the Rfam family "5.8S ribosomal RNA", at positions 50 to 154 of the family's 154-position model. The record is from RNAcentral.